Non-coding RNA from Chelonoidis abingdonii (Abingdon island giant tortoise), 97 nucleotides. The record is from RefSeq and is a predicted model, not a curated record. Lineage: Eukaryota; Metazoa; Chordata; Testudines; Testudinidae.
UCUGAGUUACUACAGAAAAUUCUUUCCCAGAUGUCUGGCUGUUGGGUCUCGCCCACAUGCUCAGCAUCUAACUGAUUGAUAUAUUUGGGGGAUGGGA